AUUGAACGCUGGCGGCAGGCUUAACACAUGCAAGUCGAGCGGGGGAAGGUAGCUUGCUACUGGACCUAGCGGCGGACGGGUGAGUAAUGCUUAGGAAUCUGCCUAUUAGUGGGGGACAACAUCUCGAAAGGGAUGCUAAUACCGCAUACGUCCUACGGGAGAAAGCAGGGGAUCUUCGGACCUUGCGCUAAUAGAUGAGCCUAAGUCGGAUUAGCUAGUUGGUGGGGUAAAGGCCUACCAAGGCGACGAUCUAUAGCGGGUCUGAGAGGAUGAUCCGACACACUGGGACUGAGACACGGCCCAGACUCCUACGGGAGGCAGCAGUGGGGAAUAGUGGACAAUGGGGGGAACCCUGAUCCAGCCAUGCCGCGUGUGUGAAGAAGGCCUUAUGGUUGUAAAGCACUUUAAGCGAGGAGGAGGCUACUUUAGUUAAUACCUAGAGAUAGUGGACGUUACUCGCAGAAUAAGCACCGGCUAACUCUGUGCCAGCCGCCGCCGUAA
RNAcentral lists this ribosomal RNA (501 nucleotides) under uncultured bacterium. RNAcentral's name for it is "partial 16S ribosomal RNA". It matches the Rfam family "Bacterial small subunit ribosomal RNA", at positions 30 to 523 of the family's 1533-position model. The record is from RNAcentral.